Molecule: ribosomal RNA, 488 nt
Filed under: uncultured bacterium
Lineage: Bacteria
Description: bacterial SSU rRNA
Rfam family: Bacterial small subunit ribosomal RNA
Source: RNAcentral
AUUGAACGCUGGCGGCAGGCUUAACACAUGCAAGUCGAACGGUAACAGGUCUAGCUUGCUAGAUGCUGACGAGUGGCGGACGGGUGAGUAACGCGUGGGAAUCUGCCUUCUAGUGGGGGAUAGCCCGGAGAAAUCCGGAUUAAUACCGCCUACGCCUACGGGGGAAAGCCGGGGAGUCUUCGGACCUGGCGCUAGUAGAUGAGCCCGCGUGAGAUUAGCUUGUUGGUGGGGUAAUGGCCUACCAAGGCAACGAUCUCUAGCUGGUCUGAGAGGACGAUCAGCCACACUGGGACUGAGACACGGCCCAGACUCCUACGGGAGGCAGCAGUGGGGAAUAUUGGACAAUGGGCGAAAGCCUGAUCCAGCAAUGCCGCGUGUGUGAAGAAGGCCUGAGGGUUGUAAAGCACUUUCAAUCGUGAAGAAAGUUGCAGGCUAAUACCCUGUGACCCUUGACGUUAACGAUACAAGAAGCACCGGCUAACUCCGUG